GCCGACCAAGUGUUUGUUUCUUUGAUUCCUCCCCCCAUCACGCUUCCACCCGUUUCUUCUCCAGGAGAACAGCAGGGGGGUGGGGGGAGUAGCUGCGCCGAUGGCACGCCAUGUUCAUCAAGGGAAUAAUGCUAAAGAAGGCAUUCAUAUAAACCUGAAGGGUUUUGCAAUUGGCAAUGGACAAAGCAAUACACUGGUUAUGCACUGGGUACGGGAAUUAUUAAGGAAUCUGAUUACAAAAGCAUCAGCACUAUGUUCUAUCCAGCAUAUGAACUUGCCAUCAAACUUUGUGCCGCGGUGGCCGCUGGACGGAGCCCCAGCCUCCACCCCGUACAGUCUCCUCAACCUGUCGAUGACGGGGCGGAACCCGGCGCGGAGCGGCACCACCGACGCCACCCGCAGGUGCUCCGCAUUGCCCUUCCUCGACCGGCUCAGCGUCAUCCUCAGCAUCUCCCCCUGAAGCAGCUCCCCGACCGUCUCCCUUGCCGACGGAUGCGCCCCCAGGAAGUCCGUCCAGUCGUCCGCGGAGCACCCCAUAAGCACCCUCGCCGCCCUGUCGAAGCACACCACCACCAUUACCCUGUCCACCGUGCCAACCGAUACCUACAGCAACCACCACCGCAGCGAUAAAGAAGUUGCAAGACCAUCUCUCGGGAGGCCGCAAAAGAAAGACGAGAUCUUGGCGGAGGAAAUCACUACGAGGAGGCGGUAGACGUGCUUCGAGCCGGCGUUGGGGAUCCGACGGCUGCAGACGGGGCAGUUGGAGGCGGUAUCGGAGAGGGUCCGCUCGCAGAUGGAGCAGACACGGUAGCAGAAGGCGGACGUGUCUACGGCCACCACCGAGCAAUAGGGCGGUGUCCAUGGAUUCUCCGCCGCCGCCGACGACGACGACGCUCCAUAGGACGCCAUGGCGGUCUGUUUCCCCUCUUCUGAUGACCCGUGACCGGGCGUCCAUCACCUAGUAACGGACCCGGUGUAGGCCCCACAUGUCACGUGACGAGUUCUUGAGUGGUUUUGGGUUCCGAUGACCUCGUGCGCCUAACUAAAGGUCCGCCUGGGACGCGUCAAUUUGGGUGCGCCCGCAAAAAGUAAAGAAGAAGGCGUUCGAACGUAGCUAUUAUGGAGAACGGUGUCUUUCGUGGUGCCGGUGCAGAUUGACAGCAGCCACCGAGCCCUCUUAGUGAUUUCGGCCAGGGCUCAAGAUUUCUAAUCGUGCGAAGCUCUUCAAACAUGCUUGGAUUAGCUCCGAGGUAUCGAUUGCUGUUCAGACCGGUUGCCCAAGCUGUGGUUGCUUAUUUGCACGGAGCUUAUCAACGUGAGAAGUUGAGGUAAUGAUGGAUGGCUUCUAUGGUUAAAGCGCACUUGCAGGGAAACAAGAUGGGCCUUGAUCUCAAUUUCGACUAUAAUAAUGCUCUUUGGUCUUGAUGUCUAUUAAUUUCUUUGAAGAAUAGUAUUUACCAUCAAAUGAAAAAAGGAAUCUAGAGAUUUAAUCUUCUGUGACUGUGAUUUGUAAUAUCUUGAUCAUUUGUAAAGGGACUGCUGGGGAUUGUUUGUGUCGCUUGGAGUUCCUAAACCGAAGCUAUCUCUUUCGGUUGGAGUCAACGCAAGUGAUGGCAUCACAAGGCUUGGCUGGAUGUGGAAGCUAUCCAUCCAUCCAUCCUUAUGAUAGAGGCAGAAGUACCACAAUGGUCUUUUAUAUAUGGAAGAUUCCAUGGCAAGCUUAGCUUGCAACUGAGAAGCUCUUUCCCUAUCCUCCUCUCAGUCCACAUCAAAUUUUGCUUACAAUAAUACCAUGUUGUCAGGUCAGUCUUCUUCCUCUUCUUCUUAUUCUUAU
Molecule: long non-coding RNA, 1834 nt
Organism: Musa acuminata AAA Group (dessert banana)
Lineage: Eukaryota; Viridiplantae; Streptophyta; Magnoliopsida; Zingiberales; Musaceae
Exons: 7
Source: RefSeq, a predicted model, not a curated record